This 669-nucleotide long non-coding RNA is filed under the name Vulpes vulpes (red fox). RNAcentral describes it as "lncRNA (ENSVVUG00000002612.1)". Lineage: Eukaryota; Metazoa; Chordata; Mammalia; Carnivora; Canidae. The record is from RNAcentral.
GUCUGGAGCCUAGCUUCACCAGCUGAAGUCUCUGUCACCACCCACCACUGGCCUACAGUCACGGGCACUAUGACUGCCUUCAGGGUUUCCCUUGCUGCCUUGGCCAAAAUUGUCAUUUCCACUGAUGUUUUCACCAACAAGCCAUACUUGCCUUCCUCGGGCAACAGUUACCACCAAAUUAGCCAUCAGAGCCUCUGCUGCUGGGCACACACCUGGAGCUGCCAUUCUCUUCCCCACUCCUCAGCUCAGGAUUGGAAAACAUGAAUAGGCUCUGGUAGUACCAGCCUUGUCAUCCUUGUCAUUCUGCAUGUGGGACUGGGACAGAGCAGCUCCGUCUGGGCAGAGGAACCCAUUCAGACCAGUGGUUUUCAACCCAGGCUACACAUCAGGUUUGAGACGACAAAGAAACAACUACAACUUGAAGCAAACUUAUAUUGCUGUUCAGAUGCAAUGUCAGCUAGUCACCAUAAGCAUCUCACUUCUUUACAGAGAGAAACCGGUUUGUCUACAUCUGGGUUUGCUCUCCUUUUCUUUUACUAACAGCUUCACUGUAGUAUAAUUUUAUGAAAUUUGUUAACAGCUUCACUGAGGUAUAAGCUUUAUUGAGGUGAUACACAAUGACCUACAUGAGUUUAAGGUGUAUAGUUUGAUAAGUUGAGGCAUAUGAAU